GUAGGUGAACCUGCGGAAGGAUCAUUACCGAGUUAGGGUCUCUCAGGCCCGACCUCCAACCCUUUGUUCAAUCUACCAUGUUGCUUUGGCGGGCCCGCCCUUCUGGGGCCGCCGGGGGUUUUACGACCCCUGGUCAGCGCCUGCCAGUGGCCUACUUAAAUUCUGUUUUUAAUUAUGACGUCUGAAGAUAAAUAAAAAUCGUUAAAAACUUUCAACAACGGAUCUCUUGGUUCUGGCAUCGAUGAAGAAC
This 250-nucleotide unclassified non-coding RNA is filed under the name plant metagenome. Its description in RNAcentral is "partial contains small subunit ribosomal RNA, internal transcribed spacer 1, and 5.8S ribosomal RNA". The stretch from base 207 to 250 matches the Rfam family "5.8S ribosomal RNA", at positions 1 to 44 of the family's 154-position model. The record is from RNAcentral.